GGAGGCGUAGCCAAGUGGUAAGGCCGAGGUCUGCAAAACCUCUAUCGUCAGUUCGAUUCUGACCGCCUCCUCCA
Molecule: transfer RNA, 74 nt
Filed under: Candidatus Margulisiibacteriota bacterium
Lineage: Bacteria; Bacillati; Candidatus Margulisiibacteriota
Description: tRNA-Cys
Rfam family: tRNA
About the family: Transfer RNA (tRNA) molecules are approximately 80 nucleotides in length. Their secondary structure includes four short double-helical elements and three loops (D, anti-codon, and T loops).
Source: RNAcentral